GACUCCGUGGCGCAAUGGUAGUCGCGUCAGAUUCCAGUUAAGGAAGUUCCUGAAGGUUAUCCGUUCAAGUCGGGUCGGGGUCA
Non-coding RNA from Atractiella rhizophila, 83 nucleotides. NCBI's taxonomy places the organism in Eukaryota, Fungi, Basidiomycota, Atractiellomycetes, Atractiellales, Hoehnelomycetaceae. The record is from the annotation of a GenBank genome assembly.